This 433-nucleotide ribosomal RNA is filed under the name uncultured bacterium. RNAcentral describes it as "partial 16S ribosomal RNA". It matches the Rfam family "Bacterial small subunit ribosomal RNA", at positions 29 to 507 of the family's 1533-position model. The record is from RNAcentral.
AACGAACGCUGGCGGCAUGCCUAACACAUGCAAGUCGAACGAGACCUUCGGGUCUAGUGGCGCACGGGUGCGUAACGCGUGGGAACCUGCCCUUAGGUUCGGAAUAACUCCCCGAAAGGGGUGCUAAUACCGGAUAAUGUCUUCGGACCAAAGAUUUAUCGCCUUUGGAUGGGCCCGCGUUGGAUUAGCUAGUUGGUAGGGUAAAAGCCUACCAAGGCGACGAUCCAAAGCUGGUCUGAGAGGAUGAUCAGCCACACUGGGACUGAGACACGGCCCAGACUCCUACGGGAGGAAGCAGUGGGGAAUAUUGGACGAUGGGCGAAAGCCUGAGCCAGCAAUGCCGCGUGGGUGAUGAAGGCCUUAGGGUUGUAAAGCUCUGUUAACCGGGAUGAUAAUGACAGUACCGUGAGAAUAAGCGCCGGCUAACUCCGUG